This 253-nucleotide ribosomal RNA is filed under the name uncultured bacterium. RNAcentral's name for it is "partial 16S ribosomal RNA". It matches the Rfam family "Bacterial small subunit ribosomal RNA", at positions 524 to 776 of the family's 1533-position model. The record is from RNAcentral.
UACGUAGGGGGCUAGCGUUGUCCGGAAUCAUUGGGCGUAAAGAGCGUGUAGGCGGUCCGGUAAGUCCGCUGUGAAAGUCGGGGGCUCAACCCUCGAAUGCCGGUGGAUACUGUCGGGCUAGAGUGCGGAAGAGGCGAGUGGAAUUCCUGGUGUAGCGGUGAAAUGCGCAGAUAUCAGGAGGAACACCUAUUGCGAAGGCAGCUCGCUGGGACGUUACUGACGCUAAGGCGCGAAAGCGUGGGGAGCGAACAGG